GUGCUCGCUUCGGCAGCACAUAUACUAAAAUAGGAAGGAUGCAGAGAAGCUUAGCAUGGCUCCUGCUCAAGGAUGACACGCAAGUUCGUGAAGCCUCCCAUGUUUCU
Microtus oregoni (creeping vole) is the source of this 107-nucleotide small nuclear RNA. NCBI's taxonomy places the organism in Eukaryota, Metazoa, Chordata, Mammalia, Rodentia, Cricetidae. The record is from RefSeq and is a predicted model, not a curated record.